CUCACUGCACUGAAUCUGAAACGCACGCGAACAAAAUUCUCUCUCACUCUCCAUCCCUCCCUCUCCCUCUACGUAUCCAUCUAUCUCUCUAGUUGACAGCUGCUCGUCUGCUGGUAUAGUAUGGUAGGCACAGCGGGCAGGGAAGGAGAAUGAGUGUCGGCCUCAUCUCCCCAAAGCUCAGAAGGAGACCCACAUAUUAUAUAAAACCUAUUAGAAAGCUGUGUGUGUGUCAGUGUGUCAGUGUGUGUGUGUCAGUGUCUGUGUGUGUGAGUAAGGGUGUGUAUCAGUGUGUGAGUCAGUGUUUGAGUCGGUGUGUAUCAGUGUGUGUAUCAGUGUGUGUAUCAGUGUGUGAGUCCGUGUGUGUGAGUCAGAGCUAUAGCCUGGACGUGUGCGUCGGGAGCUAACACAAGUCUUUAGGUUUCAAUCAUCUUUUUUUGGGUCCAUUUCUUGAUUGGUUAUUCUGAGGCAGGAAAUGAGAUCGUAUGGGGGCGUGUCCCAAGUCAAGAGAGUUUGUGUGUGUGUAUGUGCACCAGUGGAGGCUGCUGAGGGGAGAACGGCUCAUAAUAAUGACUGGAAUGGAACAAAUGGAAUGACAUCAAUCACAUGGAAACCAUGGAAACCAUGUGUUUGACAUAUUUGAUACCAUUCACGAGCCCGUCCUCCCAAAUCAACGUGCCACCAGCCUCCUGUUGUGUGUAGCUCUACCUUCCAGUAGUAUAUCAUAUCUGUGUGACAGUGAGGAGCUCCGUCAUUAUGGCAUGCUGGGAUACUAAUCAUCCGUUAUGUUCUCUCUCUCUCCUUUCUCAGUGCGGUUAAAAGUUCCUCUCCUGUAGCGAGACAUUGUGCUCCAAUAGAAGACUGGUGAUGUGUGGACACCUGAGGAGAGAGGAGAGAGAGGGAGAGAGAGAGGGAGAGAGGAGAGAGAGAGGAAGAGAGAGAGGGAGAUGGGAGAGAUGGCGAGAGAUGAGGGAGAGAGCUGGAGAGAGGAGAGACGCAGAGUCAUUCUGAGCCGACCUCACACUGGGCGCCAAUCUGUCAGACUCACACACGUACGUCAAUGCACGCACAAAAUAUAUCUGGAGAUGUUGUCUGUUGGAAAUCACCAGCGGGAAAUUGUGAUUGGAUUAGAUCACGACCUGAGCCCGGAGCUCAGGAGAUUAGGUGUGUGAUUGGUGGUAUAUUUAAAUAAAAUAACUCGCUCUGUGUGUGUGCGUGCGUGUGGGCGUGCGUGUGUGUGUGUGCAGAAGAAAUAAGUGAGACAGGUGAAUAACCUUGUAAACCGUAGAUAGACAUCAUGGUACCGGUCCCAUUAUGGCGUGUCUGAGCGCCGUUGAGGCCACCUCCAUUUUCAAUUCGUCAGUUUUAUUCUACUACAUCUAUCAGUUGGUGAACUAACUGAAAGGGUGCACACAUCCACCUGGAGGGUUGUUUGGACAUGUAUAAAGUCAAGGACAGUGAUUUACUACCACCUGGAGGGUUGUUUGAACAGGUAUAAAGUCAAGGACAGUGAUUUACUACCACCUGGAGGGUUGUUUGAACAGGUAUAAAGUCAAGGACAGUGAUUUACUACCACCUGGAGGGUUGUUUGAACAGGUAUAAAGUCAAGGACAGUGAUUUACUACCACCUGGAGGGUUGUUUGAACAGGUAUAAAGUCAAGGACAGUGAUUUACUACCACCUGGAGGGUUGUUUGAACAGGUAUAAAGUCAAGGACAGUGAUUUACUACCACCUGGAGGGUUGUUUGAACAGGUAUAAAGUCAAGGACAGUGAUUUACUACCACCUGGAGGGUUGUUUGAACAGGUAUAAAGUCAAGGACAGUGAUUUACUACCACCUGGAGGGUUGUUUGGACAGGUAUAAAGUCAAGGACAGUGAUUUACAGCCACCUGGAGGGUUGUUUGGACAGGUAUAAAGUCAAGGACAGUGAUUUACUACCACCUGGAGGGUUGUUUGAACAGGUAUAAAGUCAAGGACAGUGAUUUACAGCCACCUGGAGGGUUGUUUGAACAGGUAUAAAGUCAAGGACAGUGAUUUACUACCACCUGGAGGGUUGUUUGAACAGGUAUAAAGUCAAGGACAGUGAUUUACUACCACCUGGAGGGUUGUUUGGACAGGUAUAAAGUCAAGGACAGUGAUUUACUACCACCUGGAGGGUUGUUUGAACAGGUAUAAAGUCAAGGACAGUGAUUUACAGCCACCUGGAGGGUUGUUUGGACAGGUAUAAAGUCAAGGACAGUGAUUUACUACCACCUGGAGGGUUGUUUGAACAGGUAUAAAGUCAAGGACAGUGAUUUACUACCACCUGGAGGGUUGUUUGGACAGGUAUAAAGUCAAGGACAGUGAUUUACAGCCACCUGGAGGGUUGUUUGAACAGGUAUAAAGUCAAGGACAGUGAUUUACUACCACCUGGAGGGUUGUUUGGACAGGUAUAAAGUCAAGGACAGUGAUUUACUACCACCUGGAGGGUUGUUUGAACAGGUAUAAAGUCAAGGACAGUGAUUUACAGCCACCUGGAGGGUUGUUUGAACAGGUAUAAAGUCAAGGACAGUGAUUUACUACCACCUGGAGGGUUGUUUGAACAGGUAUAAAGUCAAGGACAGUGAUUUACAGCCACCUGGAGGGUUGUUUGGACAGGUAUAAAGUCAAGGACAGUGAUUUACUACCACCUGGAGGGUUGUUUGAACAGGUAUAAAGUCAAGGACAGUGAUUUACAGCCACCUGGAGGGUUGUUUGAACAGGUAUAAAGUCAAGGACAGUGAUUUACUACCACCUGGAGGGUUGUUUGGACAGGUAUAAAGUCAAGGACAGUGAUUUACUACCACCUGGAGGGUUGUUUGGACAGGUAUAAAGUCAAGGACAGUGAUUUACUACCACCUGGAGGGUUGUUUGAACAGGUAUAAAGUCAAGGACAGUGAUUUACUACCACCUGGGGGGUUGUUUGGACAGGUAUAAAGUCAAGGACAGUGAUUUACUACCACCUGGAGUUAUGACAUCAUUGCUCACAACUAUAAUUAAAUUGUCUGAUCCCUCCUGAUGACUGUUACGUUCCCCAGUUUAUGUGUUGUAGUUUGCAUGUGUUUAUUUCAGGAAAUAGCUUCCUGAAAUCCCUCAAGCAGCUGAUUGGUCGACUCCAUGGCUAAUUGGAGAGCUGACCCCGCCCCCUCGUCAAGACGCAGCUGUCUCCAAUUACCCAUUCCUUAGAAGAUAUAUAAAAGCCAGUGUACUGUUCAGGAGGGAGAGAUUUUGUCUGGAGGUAGAUUUGCUGGGAGUUCAUUGCUGGGAGUUCAUUGCUGAGAGUUCAUUGCUGAGAGUUCAUUGCUGAGAGUUCAUUGCUGAGAGUUCAUUGCUGGGAGUUCAUUGCUGGGAGUUCAUUGCUGAGAGUUGGUAUGUUUUGUGAGUUGCUCAGAGUUUAUUUGAUGUCCUUUGUUUCUUAGUUUGUUUGUUAAAAUGGUUUAAUAUUGUUUCAUUGUUCAUUGUUUCAUUUGUUCCCAGGGGGGGAAAGGGGAAGGCACCUUGGGAGUGCUUAGGCAAGAGGCCCGCGGGCAUACAUAUACCCGUAAAUUAGGUAAGUAGUGGGUAGGCAGGUAAGAUAGGAGAGGGGGGGCUUUGAGAUUUACUUUCUCUGCUUUGGUUCCGUCCAGCCCCUUUUCCCCAUAUUACCAUGUAAAGGAAUAGUCCUUGUAAAUGGUACCACAUUCUGCCUGUUGUCAUUCUUACUUGCACCUACAGUCCAUACCUUUUUCACUUCACGGAGAGUUUAGUUGUCGCAGGGUGUUGCGUUCCCUCUUCAUAGAGGCGUGCGUAACAAUGACCUGGAUAUGUGAUCCUUCAUUAACCUAUAGGAAGUCACACCCAGUUGACUACUUCAAAAUGGUGGAUGUCCUCAAUGGCACUAUGCUAAAACUGGCUUUUGGGCACAAGAGUGCUGUAUCUGUCCCUUUAUCUCAGGUUGGUGGCAGUUCCAACCGUCUUGCUAGAUGCACUGCUCUCGGGGCCACGCCUGCCCUCUCCUGGCUACUUCCUGUAACUACAUCAGUAGCUUUCAGCAGACUGGACAAGGAAGUAUACACGGUAUAUAAAUGUACAAGUCUAUGGUUCUGAAGAUCAAAGACAAUGUUCCUGAAUAAAGUAGACUCAGCAAACUGCACAGAGGUGUUUAAUCACAUUAGAACCACAGAGAGA
Oncorhynchus keta (chum salmon) is the source of this 4181-nucleotide long non-coding RNA. RefSeq lists it as uncharacterized. The transcript is spliced from 4 exons. Lineage: Eukaryota; Metazoa; Chordata; Actinopteri; Salmoniformes; Salmonidae. The record is from RefSeq and is a predicted model, not a curated record.